UACAGAGGUCUCAACCGUUGUUCGGAUUCAUUGGGCGUAAAGAGCUCGUAGGCGGUCUGUCGCGUCGGCUGUGAAAUCCCGAGGCUCAACCUCGGGUCUGCAGUCGAUACGGGCAAACUGGAGUGUUGCAGGGGAGACUGGAAUUCCUGGUGUAGCGGUGAAAUGCGCAGAUAUCAGGAGGAACACCGGUGGCGAAGGCGGGUCUCUGGGCAACAACUGACGCUGAGGAGCGAAAGCGUGGGGAGCGAACAGG
Molecule: ribosomal RNA, 253 nt
Filed under: uncultured bacterium
Lineage: Bacteria
Description: partial 16S ribosomal RNA
Rfam family: Bacterial small subunit ribosomal RNA
Source: RNAcentral